UGGUGCUAAGAGCCGAGAAUCAUGGAGAGAACAAGCGUGAGCUUCGCUCUUCUCCAUGACAACGGUCACAUGAUCUUUAGAAGUCGGAUGACGUGAUCGGGAGAGUCAGCUGACAAUCCCACACGUACUCAGUCUUAGCCCCUUGCUCUUGCUCAGUGGCCAUUACCCCUUACAGCAGAAUUUAAGAAAAGAUGCAGCAAAAAACAGUGCAUGAGUUCAGAGGCAUACGGUAUAUAGCCACAUAGAAUGCACAGAUUGCUGGCAUUAGAUCUGUGUAUCCAGUGAACUAUGUAGGAUUCGCUGGACUACGUCGAUGGCUGUCUUUUUUUUUCUUUUAAUAAAAUGGUUAACAAGGGCUGUGUGGGG
Molecule: long non-coding RNA, 366 nt
Organism: Hyla sarda
Lineage: Eukaryota; Metazoa; Chordata; Amphibia; Anura; Hylidae
Exons: 3
Source: RefSeq, a predicted model, not a curated record